Molecule: non-coding RNA, 29 nt
Filed under: Mus musculus (house mouse)
Lineage: Eukaryota; Metazoa; Chordata; Mammalia; Rodentia; Muridae
Source: RNAcentral
UGACAAAAGACUGCACUUGAGACACGCCU